CCGGAGCCCAGCAGGUCAAGCUUAAUCUGUACGCUUUCCCCUGCUACCUUCCCGGAUGCCAGCAGGUACCCUGCUACCUUCUCGGAGGCAGCAGGUCUGGUUAACCUGUUUUUCCCUACUACCUUCUCGGAGGCCAGCAGGUC
Long non-coding RNA from Dermochelys coriacea (leatherback sea turtle), 143 nucleotides. RefSeq lists it as uncharacterized. The transcript is spliced from 3 exons. The record is from RefSeq and is a predicted model, not a curated record. Lineage: Eukaryota; Metazoa; Chordata; Testudines; Dermochelyidae.